UACGAAGGGGGCUAGCGUUGCUCGGAAUCACUGGGCGUAAAGGGUGCGUAGGCGGGUCUUUAAGUCAGGGGUGAAAUCCUGGAGCUCAACUCCAGAACUGCCUUUGAUACUGAAGAUCUUGAGUUCGGGAGAGGUGAGUGGAACUGCGAGUGUAGAGGUGAAAUUCGUAGAUAUUCGCAAGAACACCCGUGGCGAAGGCGGCUCUCUGGGACGGUACUGACGCUGAGACGGCGAAAGCGUGGGGAGCGAACAGG
Molecule: ribosomal RNA, 254 nt
Filed under: uncultured bacterium
Lineage: Bacteria
Description: partial 16S ribosomal RNA
Rfam family: Bacterial small subunit ribosomal RNA
Source: RNAcentral